CCUGUCGACUUAGGUCAUGGAUCAACUUAUCCGUGUGUGUGUCAGACGGCGGCGGCUGCGGUUUGGGUCGCAGCUGAUUGGACGGUGACGAAGUGGAUGAGGCUGGCGCAGAGGUUGUGGAGGCUUCGGUCAGAGAUGAGGAGGAUAAUGGAGGGGGAGACGCCGUCAUGGACCACGUCAGCGUGGGCGUGGACGUACGGGAGGCCCUAUGCAACGUCAGCGGCGCCGCAGAGCCAGUACCGGGGAGGUUGUUCUCGCUGCUACUACUGGUGUUUCCGGUGCUGGAAAUACACAUGGGGUUAGGCGAGGUAGGCAGCAAGCAGAGCGUGAGGCUCGCAUGGUGGUUCCUAUCGGCGCAGGUGAGCGCGGUGGAGGUGUCCUUGGCGGCGAGGCCGAGGCGAGCAUGGAGCUAGAAGAGGGUGGCACCGUGGAAUUGGAGGGAGCAACACCUUGGUGGAGGAACCGAAUUGACGAGUCUGAGCACACCUUCUUGAACCAAUAUAUUUUGUUUUGGUCAAUGGUUAUUGACAUGCAGUGCUCCUACAUCUUCUUGAAAAAAAUAUUUGUCAAUGACAAGGGAAACCAAAAUAGUGCUUGUGAUCCUCUUUCUUGGUAACAACUGAGAAUUAUCCUAAAUGUGCUUCUUUUGGGCAUUAGCAUGAUCUGAAAUAAGCAACCACUUGUGUGAUUACAUUUUCAUUGCAUUGUUUUGCAUUGCAUUUAGUGUUCUUAGACCAAUGCUGCAAUAGGUUUAAUGUGUAUUGUUUCAGAAAGAAGUUACAAGGAGAAAAUAUGGGAUCUGAAGUAGCUUAUUGACUCCGACGGCAUGAAAUUGUCACGUUCUGUGAUAGUUACAAUGUUAUCAAUGGUGAUUGGCUUCCAAGAUGACUUCGGCAGUGUUGUCUUGGCAACAAGAACCAUACUUGCAAGUGUGGUGAUGUACGAUGAUUCUGGUAUCAGAUUACAUGCUGGAAAGUGAGCAGCGGUGCUCAAUCAAAUAUUUUGCGAACUUCCUUCUGAACAUCCCUUGGCUGAAACAAAACCAUUGCGUCAACUUUUAGGCCAUACUCCGACCCAGGUCAGAGAAUCAUAUGGAAGAUCCAUGGGUCUAAUGUGCCAUCUUCAUUGAAAAUUACUGGUAUGGAUGGUAGUUUGGCUAGCAUCCAGUUCUUUCAUAGUCCUGACAUCCUCUCUCAUUCAAAUGUUGGACUAAUUAAGUAAUUAUAGGGUGUAAGUUUACACAAAAAAGCUGUAUGUUAGAUAAUUGUGCUUUGAAAACUUCAGUUCCUCUUCCAGUUUUGAAGGGCCACGUCUCUCAUUUACCUUUUUUAUUUUCCUGCAAAGGCUCUAUAUUUGCUGCAGGUUAACAUAUUCGUUAACAUUCAUUGUUGUGAGUUCAGGCAAUAAAAAAAUUGUGGCUGGCCGGCUUCUACUAGGUGUCAUGUACUUUAAUGAUAAUUGCUGGUUUAAUGUAUUAUUUC
Lolium rigidum is the source of this 1481-nucleotide long non-coding RNA. RefSeq lists it as uncharacterized. NCBI's taxonomy places the organism in Eukaryota, Viridiplantae, Streptophyta, Magnoliopsida, Poales, Poaceae. The transcript is spliced from 5 exons. The record is from RefSeq and is a predicted model, not a curated record.